UCAGAAAAAGAGGGCUAAACCUCCAUCACCAACUCCCAAAGCUGGCAUUUUUCCAUUAAA
This 60-nucleotide transfer RNA is filed under the name Calyptorhynchus banksii. RNAcentral's name for it is "tRNA-Pro". The record is from RNAcentral. Lineage: Eukaryota; Metazoa; Chordata; Aves; Psittaciformes; Cacatuidae.